Saccostrea echinata is the source of this 104-nucleotide long non-coding RNA. RefSeq lists it as uncharacterized. The transcript is spliced from 2 exons. Lineage: Eukaryota; Metazoa; Mollusca; Bivalvia; Ostreida; Ostreidae. The record is from RefSeq and is a predicted model, not a curated record.
GAGACUUACCACAGAGAUAUGUAGAAAUCAUUGCCAUGUUUACUAUCGACUCGUUUGCCUGUGGUAUUUCUCCGCUGGGUGACAGCUUGGUCAUUCUAACAUUU